GCCUCCUUAGCUCAGUGGUUAGAACACUGGUCUUGUAAACCAGGGGUCAUGAGUUCGAAUCUCAUGAGGGAGCU
RNAcentral lists this transfer RNA (74 nucleotides) under Saccoglossus kowalevskii. Its description in RNAcentral is "tRNA-Thr". It matches the Rfam family "tRNA". Rfam says of the family: Transfer RNA (tRNA) molecules are approximately 80 nucleotides in length. Lineage: Eukaryota; Metazoa; Hemichordata; Enteropneusta; Harrimaniidae. The record is from RNAcentral.